GAUGAAGAACGCAGCGAAAUGCGAUAAGUAAUGUGAAUUGCAGAAUUCAGUGAAUCAUCGAAUCUUUGAACGCACAUUGCGCCCGCCAGUAUUCUGGCGGGCAUGCCUGUUCGAGCGUCAUUUCAACCAUCAAGCCCACGGCUUGUGUUGGGGACCUGCGGCUGCCGCAGGCCCUGAAAAGCAGUGGCGGGCUCGCUGUCACACCGAGCGUAGUAGCAUACAUCUCGCUCUGGGCGUGCUGCGGGUUCCGGCCGUUAAACCACCUUCAUAACCCAAGGUUGACCUCGGAUCAGGUAGGAAGACCCGCUGAACUUAAGCAUAUCAAUAAGCGGAGGA
RNAcentral lists this unclassified non-coding RNA (336 nucleotides) under soil metagenome. RNAcentral's name for it is "partial contains 5.8S ribosomal RNA, internal transcribed spacer 2, and large subunit ribosomal RNA". The stretch from base 1 to 120 matches the Rfam family "5.8S ribosomal RNA", at positions 35 to 154 of the family's 154-position model. The record is from RNAcentral.